Sclerotinia sclerotiorum is the source of this 97-nucleotide transfer RNA. It matches the Rfam family "tRNA". Rfam says of the family: Transfer RNA (tRNA) molecules are approximately 80 nucleotides in length. NCBI's taxonomy places the organism in Eukaryota, Fungi, Ascomycota, Leotiomycetes, Helotiales, Sclerotiniaceae. The record is from Rfam.
GCACCAAUGGUUUAGUGGUAAAAUCUGCGCUUCCCACUUCUAGCUUAGCGUCUAGUUGAGCCUGCGCAGGCCACGGGUUCGAUUCCCGUUUGGUGCA